Molecule: ribosomal RNA, 253 nt
Filed under: uncultured bacterium
Lineage: Bacteria
Description: partial 16S ribosomal RNA
Rfam family: Bacterial small subunit ribosomal RNA
Source: RNAcentral
UACGUAGGGGGCAAGCGUUGUCCGGAAUCAUUGGGCGUAAAGAGCGUGUAGGCGGUCCGGUCAGUCGGUUGUGAAAGUCAAGGGCUCAACCCUUGAAUGCCGGCCGAUACUGCCGGGCUAGAGUCCGGAAGAGGUGAGUGGAAUUCCUGGUGUAGCGGUGAAAUGCGCAGAUAUCAGGAGGAACACCGAUGGCGAAGGCAGCUCACUGGGACGGUACUGGCGCUGAGACGCGAAAGCGUGGGGAGCAAACAGG